This 1406-nucleotide unclassified non-coding RNA is filed under the name Hevea brasiliensis (rubber tree). The record is from RNAcentral. Lineage: Eukaryota; Viridiplantae; Streptophyta; Magnoliopsida; Malpighiales; Euphorbiaceae.
CUUAAGUGGUGAAGAAAGUGAGAUGCAUGAAGACACUGAAGAAAUCAAUGCCUUCCUUUACUCUGAUGAUGAUGAAGAUAAUGAUGAUGAUGAUGAUGAUGAUGAUGAAGUAACAAGCACUGGUCACUCUCCAAGCACCGGUCACUCUCCCAUUCAGAUCAGAAGUUGUCAGACGCGAGUAGAAGUAGAGGAAAUAACAGAGGAAGUCGCUGGUUCUGAUGGCCAAAGCAAAAGGCAGAAAUUGCUUGAUGGUGUGUACAAAAGAACAUCACUAGCGGACACUGCUAGUUUGACAAAAGUGGCCGGAGUUCAUGGGUGUGAUGAUAAUGAUGAUGAAUCAAGCUAUGCUAUUGGACAAAACCAAGAAGAAGAAAGGCUUGCCUUCUGGGGCAGCAAGCAAUUGAAAAAGGAUAAGGUUCGUGCAACAUUAAAAAUUCUGGAGAGCAUAAUCCCUGGUGCAAAGGACAAGGACCCACUGGUGGUCCUUGAUGUGGCUAUUGAUUACUUGAAAUCUUUGAAGUUUGAAGCCAAAAGUCUUGGAGCGAACUACUGUUAAGUUUCGUUCCCUCCAACUUUCAUAGUGUUAUGUUGGCUAGUGGGUGCAAAGAAGAAAGAAGAAAAGUAGCAACCCUAGAGUUCUUGGCUUGAAUGAUUGAUGAGUUAGAAAUAAUAGCUUUUCUGAUGUGGGGUACUCUUUAGACUUUUUCCCUCAGGAGCUGUGUAUAAUCUGCCAAUAAAAGGAGAGUAGUGGGAAGAUAUAGUACUUUGCUCGCAGGGUGAAGAAAAAAAUAGAGUUUUAUAAGUUGAUCAGAAAUGAUUAAAGAUUAUCAAAAGAAAAUGAAUGGAGAGUGGGACCCGAAUUACCUAGCAAGUGCUGAAUUGUGCUAUAAAUGAGAGGAUUUUAUUUCUUAAGUGUUGAGAAGCCCUAUGGAUGUGCAUGCGCGUUAGGUAAUUCGGGUCCCACUCUCCAUUCAUUUUCUUUGAUUUAAUGCAUUUGUCUUCCUCUCUUUGCCCUCACACAAAUCAUAUUGAGCUCUAUUAAAAUACCGAAAAAAGUUUCAAAUGAAGCGUGAUGUCUCGCCAUGAAUUGUUGGGGUCCACACUUUUGAUCACAUAGUUGCUUGUGUGUCUUCACUCGUGAGUGUGGGUGGUGGCUAUGUAACUUGUGCAGUAUAUCAUGUGAUCAUGGUCAUUCAGUGAAGCCCUUGGUUCCCAAGAUGGGAUUUGUCAGCUUUGUAUGCUCAUUAUUUGUUGUGAGUGUGAAUUUGGUGUUCGGCAGUAGAGUGUGGAGUAUUGAGUUGAAUGUAUUUUAUCUUGGCUGUUUUUUCUUCUGUUCUUCCUGUUGUCCUAUGUAGGACGAUUUUGUCUGUAUUGAAAAAGAAAACAUCUCUACAUUAAUAAAAUCA